CAUGUACCCACAUGCACAUGGAUAGGCCAAAAGACUUGCCUAUUGUUCUCCUACCUUGGAGUCCUUGGAAUCAGACUCAGGUUGUCAGGCUGUCAUCUCACCAGCCCUAGCACCAUGUUAAGAACAAAAACUGGUGUGAUGGCACAGGCUGUGGUGUAAGCACUGAGAGGCAGGCAGGGAAGGACAACCAGAAGUCAAAGGUUACCCGUGCUGUAGGCUGGAUUAGGGGCUAGCCUCACUGCAUAAGAGUCUGUCCUUUAAAUAAGUUGGGGGUGGAGGGUGGAAAGGAACACAUGGCUCCAAAAGCUACAUUUAAAGCCAUAGAACAAGUCUCGUACACUAGUCACAGAAUCUUCUGGGUACGAACUCUGUCCGUUGUACUACAGGCUAUAAUGCAAGGUGUACGUAUGCCUGAUGUAUGAUGCACUUCAAACAUUUUGCCCUCUUGCUUACAAAUUCCCUGAGUGCAUUUAACCCUUACAAAUAAAUGCUCUUUGCAGUUCAGUUUUUAUGCUUACAAGAGAUGUUACUGUUACAUAGUAUAGGAAAAUUCCUAUCAAAUGGGUUGGGUACCACACCAGCCUAACAGUGAAGCUCACUGAGCCACCAAACAGUAACAGAAUUGGUAACCUGAUACUAUAACUUCUGGCUAAUUCCAGAAGGCUGAAUGGAUCAUAGAACUGUGUUUUCUAGCUUCCUGCUAGCUUGAUGAUGCAGGCCUUUGAUCUUAGCACUCCGUGAGUUUAAUGCGGGCCUGUCUACACAGUGAGCUCCAAGACAGUCAGGCAGUCAGGACAAAAAAAAAGAAAAGA
This 812-nucleotide long non-coding RNA is filed under the name Rattus norvegicus (Norway rat). RNAcentral describes it as "long non-coding RNA NONRATT018518". The record is from RNAcentral. Lineage: Eukaryota; Metazoa; Chordata; Mammalia; Rodentia; Muridae.